Molecule: ribosomal RNA, 305 nt
Filed under: uncultured bacterium
Lineage: Bacteria
Description: bacterial SSU rRNA
Rfam family: Bacterial small subunit ribosomal RNA
Source: RNAcentral
CGUAGCCUACGGGGGGCAGCAGUGAGGAAUAUUGGUCAAUGGCCGGAAGGCUGAACCAGCCACGCCGCGUGAAGGACGAAGGUGCCAAGCAUUGUAAACUUCUUUUGUCAAGGGACAAAAUCAGGCUCGAGAGCCUGACCGAGGGUACUUGAAGAAAAAGCAUCGGCUAACUCCGGGCCAGCAGCCGCGGUAAUACGGAGGAUGCGAGCGUUAUCCGGAUUGAUUGGGUUUAAAGGGUGCGGAGGCGGACUGUUAAGUCAGCGGUAAAAGCCCGGGGCUCAAACCCGGCGAGCGGUUAAAACUGG